CCUACGGGUGGCAGCAGUGAGGAAUAUUGGUCAAUGGCCGGAAGGCUGAACCAGCCAUGCCGCGUGAAGGUCAGUGCCCUAUGGGCGUUAAACUUCUUUUGUGCGGGAGCAAUAAUGGUCACGUGUGGCCAGACGAGAGUACCGUACGAAUAAGCAUCGGCUAACUCCGUGCCAGCAGCCGCGGUAAUACGGGGGAUGCAAGCGUUAUCCGGAUUUUUUGGGUUUAAAGGGUGCGUAGGGUGUGAGGUAAGUCAGCGAUGAAAUGCCGCCGCGCAACGGGGUGAAGUGCCAUUGAUACUGGCUGGCUAGAGUGCGGGUGAAGCAGGAGGAAUGUGUGGUGUAGAGGUGAAAUGCAUAGAGAGCACACAGAACCCCGAUUGCGAAGGCAUCUCACUGGUCUGCGAUUGAAGCUGAGGCACGAAAGCGUGGGUAGCAAACAGGAUUAGAUACCCCAGUAGUC
Molecule: ribosomal RNA, 460 nt
Filed under: uncultured bacterium
Lineage: Bacteria
Description: partial 16S ribosomal RNA
Rfam family: Bacterial small subunit ribosomal RNA
Source: RNAcentral